RNAcentral lists this transfer RNA (95 nucleotides) under Pedobacter sp. SG908. RNAcentral describes it as "tRNA-Arg". Lineage: Bacteria; Pseudomonadati; Bacteroidota; Sphingobacteriia; Sphingobacteriales; Sphingobacteriaceae. The record is from RNAcentral. RNAcentral also lists the same sequence under 1 other name.
UGUAGUUCAACUGAUACCCGCCUGAAUGACGACAGUGGGGCAGGGAAUAGAAGUUUCCUAAACUUAGAUAUGAGUUCGAUUCUCGUCGGUGACCA